CUAGCAUAUCUGGAACCAAUGGAAUUUGAGCUCAAACCUCAACUUAACCUAAAUUAUCCAAAUCUUUAGUCAGGAAGCAUGUGAAAGACACAUAUGUGCUGACAGAGAAAAUGUCUAUUUUUGUCUUAAAAGGGAAAUAAUUAAUUAAUUAUUGAUCCAGCUGGACUUGCACUUUGAGCAAGCUUGUGUAGAAUCCAUACACCUCCACUGCUCAGCUGUGAAAGCAACAGCCUGUAUUAUCCAAUCCCAAAGCAGAGCACCAGAAAUGGCUUGCUGUAAGCUGAAUGCCAGCUGCAUCUACAGGGGUGGAGAUUCUGGGACUUUUUCUGCUGAAGGGUUCUGGUUUCAAUCCCCACUGAUGACUCAAGUGUCCAGGUGUGUAUGUAGCCCUGGUUUUUAGGUUCUGGACUGCUGGGAAAUGUGCACUGGCUCCUGAAUAAACUAACCAGCUUUCAGAUCCAGAGUGAAAGCUCUAAUGAUGGCUCUGCUUCACUAGACUGUCACGGUCCAGGGAGUUCCCAGGAGCUGACAACAUCUUAGGCUAUUAAUAGAAUGGAGUCUGUGAUUAAAUUAUGGCUUCUGAA
Alligator mississippiensis (American alligator) is the source of this 584-nucleotide long non-coding RNA. RefSeq lists it as uncharacterized. The transcript is spliced from 3 exons. The record is from RefSeq and is a predicted model, not a curated record. NCBI's taxonomy places the organism in Eukaryota, Metazoa, Chordata, Crocodylia, Alligatoridae.